This 200-nucleotide unclassified non-coding RNA is filed under the name Hevea brasiliensis (rubber tree). Lineage: Eukaryota; Viridiplantae; Streptophyta; Magnoliopsida; Malpighiales; Euphorbiaceae. The record is from RNAcentral.
CUGGACCAUGGGCUGGCAGCCGCCCUACCAGAGCGAAAGCCGCGUCUAUGCAAAGUAUCUGCUGAAGGAAAAGCCCGACGCGAAGAUCGCGAUCAUGUACCAGAACGACGACUUCGGCAAAGACAUGCUGAAGGGUCUCAAGGACGGUCUCGGCGCCAAGGCGUCGCAAGUCAUCGCGGAAGACAGCUAUGAAGUGUCCG